CCUACGUGAGGCAGCAGUGGGGAAUAUUGGACAAUGGGGGGAACCCUGAUCCAGCGACGCCGCGUGAGUGAAGAAGUAUUUCGGUCUGUAAAGCUCUAUCAGCAGGGAAGUAAGAAAUGACGGUACCUGACUAAGAUGUCUCGGCUAACUACGUGCCAGCAGCCGCGGCAAUACGUAGGGGGCAAGCGUUAUCCGGAUUUACGGGGUGUAAAGGGUGCGUAGACGGCGAUGCAAGUCUGAAGUGAAAGGCGGGGGCACAACCCCCGGACUGCUUUGGAAACUGUAUGGCUGGAGUGCAGGAGAGGUAAGUGGAAUUCCUAGUGUAGCGGUGAAAUGCGUAGAUAUGAGGAGGAACACCAGUGGCGAAGGCGGCUUGCUGGACAGUAACUGACGUUGAGGCUCGAAAGCGUGGGGAGCAAACAGGAUUAGAUACCCUAGUAGUC
This 443-nucleotide ribosomal RNA is filed under the name uncultured bacterium. RNAcentral describes it as "partial 16S ribosomal RNA". It matches the Rfam family "Bacterial small subunit ribosomal RNA", at positions 338 to 795 of the family's 1533-position model. The record is from RNAcentral.